GCCGGCCUUCGAACAACAGCGACGCAAGAUGGCAGCCACCACAGGCUCGGGAGUAAAAGUCCAUCGCAAUUUUCGACUGUUGGAAGAACUGGAAGAAGGCCAGAAAGGAGUAGGAGAUGGCACAGUUAGCUGGGGUCUAGAAGAUGACGAAGACAUGACACUUACAAGAUGGACAGGGAUGAUAAUUGGGCCUCCAAGAACAAUUUAUGAAAACCGAAUAUACAGCCUUAAAAUAGAAUGUGGACCUAAAUACCCAGAAGCACCCCCCUUUGUAAGAUUUGUAACAAAAAUUAAUAUGAAUGGAGUUAAUAGUUCUAAUGGAGUGGUGGACCCAAGAGCCAUAUCAGUGCUAGCAAAAUGGCAGAAUUCAUAUAGCAUCAGAGUUGUCCUGCAAGAGCUCCGGCGCCUAAUGAUGUCUAAAGAAAACAUGAAACUCCCUCAGCCACCUGAAGGACAGUGUUACAGCAUUAAUUAAAAAGAGAAACCACAGGCCCUCCCCACUCCCCCAUUCGAUUUAAGCAGUCAUUUUUCACAGUAGUACAUUUUCUAGAUACGUCUUGUAGACCUCAAAGUACUGGAAAGGAAGCUCCCAUUCAAAGGCAAUUUAUCUUAAGAUACUGUAAACGAUACUAAUUUUUUGUCCAUUUGAAAUAUAUAAGUUGUGCUAU
Molecule: RNA transcript, 668 nt
Organism: Enhydra lutris kenyoni (northern sea otter)
Lineage: Eukaryota; Metazoa; Chordata; Mammalia; Carnivora; Mustelidae
Gene name: ubiquitin-conjugating enzyme E2 variant 1 pseudogene
Exons: 1
Source: RefSeq, a predicted model, not a curated record